GGCUCAAUGGUCUAGUAGUAUGAUUCUCCCUUCGGGUUGCGAAACCGUGGACAAUAGUCCAAUAACUGGGAGAGGUCUCGGGUUCAAUUCCCGAUUGAGCCC
Molecule: non-coding RNA, 102 nt
Organism: Artomyces pyxidatus
Lineage: Eukaryota; Fungi; Basidiomycota; Agaricomycetes; Russulales; Auriscalpiaceae
Source: the annotation of a GenBank genome assembly